This 82-nucleotide transfer RNA is filed under the name Ichthyophthirius multifiliis. Its description in RNAcentral is "tRNA-Tyr". It matches the Rfam family "tRNA". Rfam says of the family: Transfer RNA (tRNA) molecules are approximately 80 nucleotides in length. Their secondary structure includes four short double-helical elements and three loops (D, anti-codon, and T loops). Further hydrogen bonds mediate the characteristic L-shaped molecular structure. tRNAs have two regions of fundamental functional importance: the anti-codon, which is responsible for specific mRNA codon recognition, and the 3' end, to which the tRNAs corresponding amino acid is attached (by aminoacyl-tRNA synthetases). tRNAs cope with the degeneracy of the genetic code in two manners: having more than one tRNA (with a specific anti-codon) for a particular amino acid; and 'wobble' base-pairing, i.e. permitting non-standard base-pairing at the 3rd anti-codon position. Lineage: Eukaryota; Ciliophora; Oligohymenophorea; Hymenostomatida. The record is from RNAcentral.
GGGGGGGUGGCUGAUUGGUAAAAGCGGCAGGUUGUAAACCUGUUAGAUUUGUCUGUUAUUGGUUCGAUUCCAAUCCCCCUCA